RNAcentral lists this long non-coding RNA (8092 nucleotides) under Gossypium barbadense (sea-island cotton). RNAcentral describes it as "long non-coding RNA (GBAR_LNC008620)". Lineage: Eukaryota; Viridiplantae; Streptophyta; Magnoliopsida; Malvales; Malvaceae. The record is from RNAcentral.
AGGGAUGAACUUUUGAACCAGUUCCUUCAAAUCACAAGAUGUUGCCUGGGCAGUCAUUAUUUCCCUCAUCUUUCGGCGUAUCUGAAAAACAUUAAUUUCACUUGGUCAUCAUGGGAUUGACAAAUUCACAAAAAACACACAAACACUGCAAACAGUCACAAGUACCGGGGUAGUUUACCUGUCUAAUCUGGCUGGACUGAGCGUAACAAGUCCUUUUAACCUGGUUUGGGCGUCUCUUAGUGAAUCCAAUGCAGAACAUUCUCAAAGUGUAAUUGUCAGUUGUCUUCACGUCAACAUGAGCUUCAAUCAGGGUUUGCCAUUUACGCACCAAAGACCUCAGUUUGUCAGUUGUAAAAUUCAUUCCCUGGAAAUUUGAAAAAGGAAAACCGAUCAAAAUUUUUAAACUUCUAUUGCUAAAAAAGCAGGGAUAAUAUAGUAAAUAAAGGAAGUUUAUAUUAAUCAUACCCAGAAGUUGGUCAAAACAUUUUUUCCUUGAACCUCUUCAGCUCUCAAACGAAUCUUUCUGUAAGCAUGAUCCUCAUCACCACCUUGAAGAUCAGCCAGGGAAACCUCAAACACACGGUGUUUGAGUCCUUCAGAAGCAAUCUGUCGAUGAAAUAACCAAGUUCAAACCACAUACAUAUAACUCAAACAGUAACUAUAAGUUAAAUAUACAGAGCAGAUCUAAGUUCAUUGUGCUGUUUCUAUGCGGAAACUUAUAUAUCAAGAACACACAUCCACAGCAUACCAUAAGUACAAGAAAGUCAUAAAGGUGAUUAAUGGUCUAAAUAACCGAAGCUGACCAAGAAUGCCAAUGUAAGACCAAAACAAGUAAACAAAUAAUAAAUUACAAGUUUCUCAAAUAAGUCCACUUCAAUUGUUGCAUCCUUCUCAAAGAAGCAACCAUGAAGUGCAGAGUCAAAAUGAAUUUAUAGUUUGAUAACAGAUACAAAAUUUACUCACUCAAUUGAGAACCUUACGCGUUCAGUAGCCAAUUUUCUUAACACAAGAUAUUGGUAUUUCAAAAGAAAUGGUAAAUCAGCACUUCAAAUAACAAAAAUAACAUCAUUUUCAUGCAAAAACAACCAGCAAUACAAGCCAGGGAUUUAAACUGUGGUCGCGGCUACAUUUUCGGUUUCGGCAAUAGAGGUUUCCGACAGUGCCUAUACCGGUAUCGGACCGCUAUUUAAAUCCCUGAUACAAGCAAGGCUCAGCUCAAAACUACAGUUCCCAUUUUAUAGUUCAAACCAGAAAAUACCAUGAAAAGACAAUAGCAUUAAACUUACAUAUUAACUUCCAAUAAACGCUAAGAAAAGGUCAAAGCUUUGGCAAUGGAAUGUACAAAGAAUAUAAACGAAACCCAAUUUCCUCGAAGGUUGAAAGAAUACAAUACAAUGCAAAUAUUUUCGAAAAAUAAAAUAAAUAAUUUUAUAAAAGAAAACAAACCUUGGUACCCUGAGUACGGGUGACGAGAGUUUUUCCCACAUUUCUGGUAGUGAAAACUGAAGGAGCCUUGAUAUCGUACCAAUCCUUCUUAGCAAAAGGAUCCGCUCUAAACAAAAAAAUAUCAAACAUUUAACGACCAGAUCUGUUAGUAAAAUACCCAAAGCGCGAUUAAAGCUAAAAAUUAGAUCGAUAAAGACCCAGAAAACAAAAAAAAAAAAACAGUACUCACGCCUUCUUCUUUCCUCCCUUCUUUCCCUUGGAAAUCCUCUUGUUCUUCCUACAUUACAAAAAGAAAGACCCAGAAAUAGAUCAGGUUUAAUAAAAAGAAAGAAAGCCCAUUUGAAGAACAAGAAAGAUGAAGGAAAAGGAAAUGAGUACCCGACGGCCAUGCUUCGCAAACUUUGCUUUGCUACAAAGAACGGAGCAGUCGGCACCUAAUUAGUUUUUAUAAGUGUUGGAGUGGGGAGGGAAUAGAAAACCCUAAUUUUAGUUGCUUAUAUAUGGAUGCUUGGCUCUCUCAAGCUGUACUUAUUUUCAACUGUUUGAGAAUCCCGGUUUCGUUAUCCGGCCCGGCCCAAUUAGAAUUCUAUUAAUAUAAAGGUUAAAUUCUGUUGUUAGUCCCUGUACUCUUUGUAAAUUUAAAAUUUAGUCCUGUACUUUUAUUUCUAAGAAUUUAAUACCUCAUAUUGUUAACACCAUCAUAUUUCUUUUUUAAUCAUUUUAAAAGUUCGAAAGAGAUGAACAUAAAGUAGAGUAAAAUGUUUAGGCACAUUGCAUUGAAAAGCAAAAAAUGAGAGUAAAGUUCCAGCUUUUGAGCAAACCAUGAAGCUUUUUUGUAUUCUAUUUAAGAACAUACUGACUUAUAUUUUAAUAUAAAUAAAUGUAUAUAAAUACAAUCUUUCAAAUACAUAAAAUAAAAAACUUAAUUGUAACAGGCUAAUUUAGCACAGGCCCAAUUUACAAAUAAAUAAAAAAAUAAAUUAUUACAGACCCAAAAUAAAAAUCACAAAUAACCCAAAAUGAAUAAAAACCUAAUGGCCCAAACGGGCCACUAUCUUAAGCUAGCAAGAAACCCUAGCUCACCCUAAGUUAUCAGCGUCGUUGCCCUCCAAAUUAAUGGGCACGCCGCCAGAGGCCUAACGCUCAUCUGCCGCCGUUCACCAAAAUGGCAAGGGCAUGUUUUUUGCCCCGUUGUUGACUCUCCAAAGAUACCUGCAAAAUAAUAAAAAAAAUGACAGAGAUCGCGCGCAAGCAACGGACGCAAAACAAUAAUAGAAACAGCAACAUAAAAUACUAAACAAUGUUGUAAAUCGGCUAUAAAAGCCACCACAAUUAAUGUAAUAUUCUAGACACGAAAAAAAAAAGAGUAAUCGAAAACAAAAUUCAAAAAUCCAAAAGGUGAUUUUUUUUAUAUAUUUUCAUUCUUUAUCUUUUAUUUUCGAAAAAAUAUAUAUAAAUAUAAUAAAAAUGAAACCUAUUUACUUAUAUCGCCGUUUUCUCCUUUCAUUUGGAAGACCGACGGAAUCUCGAGGUUUGUCGAAUGGUCACGACAGGAGAAGACAGAAUUGAAGGGUUACUUUGAUUUUUUUUUGAAUUUUGGUGGGCUUUUUGGGCAUUUUGGUCUUACAUCGGGGUAGAGGGUAGUAAAACGAUCAAAAAUACCCCUUUUUUCUUUUGUCGGCCACCGUAGACGGCGAAGCCGUCAUCGGCGACCGGCGACCGGCGACCAUCACGAAGGCUUGCCGGACCAUUAGCUGGUCUUAGUGUCUGUUGCAGAGAAAAAAAAAUGGGGUUUUGGAUUUUUUUUAUUUAUGGGUUGAAAUGAUUUUUUUUUAAAUUUAACGUAAAUAGCCAUAGCGAAACGACGCUGUUUCGGAGGAAUCCAGAAGGCCCAAAACGACGUUCUUUAGGGGCCAAACCCGAAAUCUGACUUGAUCCUUUAAUAGGAUCCGCAUGUUUUUGAAAAAUAGCUUAUUUCUGCUUUUGGUGCUUCCACUUUUUAAUGACAUUUCAAUGCAGUCCUAUUUCUUUAUUCUCUUUUUUAAUUUUUACCAUGUAAUUUCAUUUUUCUUUCAUUUUGGUCCCUAUGAAACGGUGUGUUUAAGGAGUUUGGGAUAAUUACAUAUUUAGUCUCUAUUCUUUUAUGCACGUUUCAUUUUAAUCCUUUAUUCUGUUUUAUUAUUUUUUUAUUUCAUUCCCCUAAUUUCAUUCUGAUUUCGAUUUAAUCCUUAGUCUAUUUAAUCUCAACCUUUCCACAAAAUUUAUUUUAUUUUAUUUAUUUAUUUAUUUACUAUUAUUUCUUUAUUCUUUUACACUAAAAAAUAGAUUAUUCAUACCCCUUUAUUUGUGCAUUUUCAUUAUUAUAGUUAUUAUUUUAUUUUUAAAUUUUUUAUUAUUCUCGUUAUUUUAUUAUUUCUUUUAUUAUUUUUCAGCAUUUUCAUGUCAUGUUUAUUUAUCAUUCUUUAAUCAUACAUUUUUCAUUUUAUUUUAAUUUAACUUGUUUAUUUUAUCAUUAUUAUAAUCAGAUUAUUAUUGUUAUUAUAGUAUUCAUUUAUUUACUUAUUAUUUAUCAUUCUACCCACAUGACCAUUUUGAAUUAUUUAAUUGUCACUAUAUCACACAUUAGGUUUAAGCAUUUAUCCAUUUGUAUAUUAUGUCCAAAUAAAUCAAAUGCAUGUCGUUCUAAGUGUUACGUUUGUUUUUUCGCACGAUGCAUAAAAAAGAAAAUUUUCAAACCAAGGCAAAUGUUCAUUAUUUUUGGAAUUAGAAGAGUCGUGUUCCUAACUUACGGAAUACGACUUUUUUCUAAAACCAAAAUAGUCGAAUAUCCAUUUCAAAAAUAUAAGAACGAGAUGCAAGUAAUGAUCAAAUGGCAUUUAUUCUUGAUUUCGAGAAUUUAAGGCAUUUUGUCCUAACUUACGAGACAUGAUCCUUCUUUCUCAAUUAACUUAAAAUAAGCCUUUUUUUGCAAAAAUUAAUUUAGUAAUACCACAAUAAAAAAAAGGAUCGUGUUUUAAACUCCCUUAAAAUUUUUAAUUUUCGACACUAAGACAUCAAGUAAUCAACUAUGUACGAAUUUUGGACGUCGCGAGGGUGCUAAUCCUUCCUCGUGCGUAACCGACUCCUGAACCCAUUUCCUAAAUUUUGUAGACUGAAAAAAAUUGUUUUAAUAAAUCAAACAUCUCAUUAAAACGAUCAAAUUACGAGGUGACCCGAUCACACCUCCUAAAAGUGAUUGGUAACGACUCUCAUUAUCAUUUUUUAAAAUAAAUUUCAAUUUAAAAAAAAAGUUUCGACAGCUUGAUGACUCCAUUGAGGACCAAAUAAGAGAGUCAAGCCGCGAGUUGGUUACUUUUAGUCUUUUUGUCAAAAAUUGAUGAUUUGAUAUAAAUUUACAAUCCCUUCUUUGCAUUUCAUCCUUCAUGUUUUGAUAUAUCGAGUUGUAUAGCGAUCUAGUAUAUCUGUUUUUAUUGGUUCAAAAGUUUCUUUUUAUGUGUUUUCCUCUUAUUACAUUGCAUAAUCGUUUAAUUUUGCCCUUCUUAAGUGGGAUUGAGAAGCUAUUCCUUCGUGAGGUCUUCACCUCCGUAUAAGAUAGUGGAUCACUUUCAGGAUACAUUCGUACCUAUGUCUUUGUAAGAUCUUCAUCUCCGUAUAGCCAUAGGGAAAUGUAUUAUCCUAAACCAAACUCGGUCUGUAUAAUUCUAUAAUGGGUGAGGAUACCCUUACUUUAGAAUUGAACCACAUAAAAUGAGUCCUAAAAGCCUACCCUAAAUAGAACCAUAUCGAACCUCUAGUGGUCAUCCGAUUAGGUGUUCUAUUUCUCAUUUCUUAACCAUAUCGAACCUCUAGUGGUCAUCCGAUUAGGUGUUCUAUUUCUCAUUUCUUACUUUGAAUUCUAGAUUUAUAUGAAAUGUACUGACUUAUUUAAUUUUGUUUUGGUUGUGAUUGCAUUGUAUUUUCAUUAUAGAAAAAGUGUUGAUUCACAUUCAGUGCUAAACAGAUAACUUGUCAUGGAAAAUGGAUUUCUUAAUAAAGUGUAAGACAAUACGACCAUCCGGAUAUGGUUUGAGAAGAUACAACAAAAGAAGGGUGACAGCCUGAUGGAGGGAUUGUGGGAUUUCACCCGCAUCAAUGUGACUCAGAAUAAUCUCCUAGAGUUGAAAGAGUUGUCGGACCAAUGGGAUGAUGAAACCAAGCAGCUAUUCUACUGUAACUAUAGUGAUCUGCAUUAUUUACUCGAUUUCAAGGAGGAUAAACACUUGUUUCGAGCUCUGGCUCAAUAUUGGAAUCCCGCCUACAGCUGCUUCACUUUUAGAAAUGUAGAUUUGGUGCCUACGAUAGAGGAGUACACAACUUUGCUUUGUUGCCCGAGGAUUCAAGCCGACAAAACUCAUUCUAAAGCCCCCAACAUCCUGACUUUCUUAAAGAAGUUAAUGAGCAUCACGGGGAUAAGUGAGUAACGGGUCGCAGCCCAGAUCAAAAAGAGAAGAAGAUAGUAAAUACAUCUUUUGGAAAAGUUUACGAGAUUUGAUCUUGGCACAUCCGGAUAUGAAGAAAAGGGUCAAUAUCUUCACUUUAAGCAUUUAUGGGUUGGUUAUUUUCCCCAAAGUACUAGGGCAUAUAGAUGAUGUCUUUCAGAUUUAUUUAACUGACUUAAUAAAAUGGUCACGUCAGUCCCUGCAAUUUUAGCCGAAACUUUCAGAUCUUUGAGUGCAUGCCGAAGAGCAGGUGAAAGAAGGUUUAUCGAGUAUGCGCAACUUUUGCUAGCCUGGUUGUUUCACAGUUAAUUUUAGAAAGUAGAAAAAAUCUCUUACCGAGUAUUCUCUGAGAACUAUUAUCCGUUGAAAGAAUUCGUGGCUACGCCAAAGCGAAACAACAUUUCAGAGGAGACAUGGAUGACAAUUCUCCUGAAUCUCCAAGUUAAAGAUGUUGAAUGGAAGAUCCCUUAAAUGAUCCUUGAUGAGAUUUUGUAAUGAUGUGAAGACUUCGACUGGGUUCCUCUACUAGGAAUAUGGAGAGCUAUCGGAUAUGCUCCUCUACUUGUGUUGAGGCUGUAUAGAUUAAGGUAGUUCAUAUCGGCAAUGUAAGGGUUGGCUCAGUGCGAAUUUGCAUAAAAGGGUGAUAAUUAAAAGAAGAAGGUUCGUGAAAUAUCUAACGCUUGAAACCAACCCACAGAAUGAAAAGAUUUGUCGCAAAUUCCAUGAAAAUCCCCGAAUAUGAUUGGUGGUGGGGUAAAAGAGUCAAUAACAAUGUCCUUGUUUCAAAUCAAGAAAACACUCAACCAAUAAAAAAACGCCUACAAGUGAUCCCGUCUGAGUUGAAAAUCAUAAAGCAAGACUUCGAAAAGAGAAGUUCGAAACUGGAGAAAAAGAUAAAACAAUUGGAAGAGGAAAAGAUGCGUCUAGGAUUAGACGUCAACAUCCAGAAGUUAGAGGCUGAGAAGAUGAGAAAAUGAAAAACUAAGACUGAGGAAUUUAUAUGCUUAGAACCUGUUUUUACAGCAAAUUGUCACUUCUAGAAUUAGGCCUUGAUGUAAACAAUAAUAAGCUGUAUACAGCACUCUAUCUAGUAAUUUUGAGUAAACAAUGUCAAACUAGUAGAACUUGUUAUAUAUCCUGUUCCAUUUUAACCUGUAUUUAUUUAUAACUACAAUUCAGUAUUUUCAAGUUUGAGUUGGAUUUUUUUUAACACAGCAAGAUUACAAGCUAAUUCUUUUUUAUUUGAAAAGCAUAUGAAGUAUAAACUUCUUAAAAUGUAGACCUAUAUGCCAUUCAUGUAUUUGUCAUUCAUAUUAUGAGUAUUUUAAGGUAAAGAUCAUAUUUAUUUUUUACCAAAGCGUAACAUAUUGUCUGCUCAAAUAUUAAGUUGCAAAAUCACAUCCUUUUAAAAUCAAAACCAUGGAGAAAUUCUCUACAAAAGUUUUUCAACAAAAUUAAAAUGAUCAGCAAAAACUCCUAGAAGCAUAAAAAAACAAGACAUUCAUGGACUAUUGUUCUUCGUUCAAGCUCCAACAACCUCUGCAGGAGCCUCAGCCAUUGUCUCAUCAGCAGGCCUCUCUAGUUUCACACCAACAUCCUCUGAGUAGUCACCAUGAACCUAAAUGAAUAAAGAAAACAACAAAAUUAAGAAAUUAACCAGGCAAGCUCCAUGGGAUAAUAAUUUUAUUGAAAAGUAUGAGAAUAGAUGACAGAAACUUACCUCCAUCAACUUCCCAAGAUCAAACUUGGGAGCCUUCAAGAUUUUGACCUUACGAAUAAACACAUUCUGCAAAGGAUAGAUGCUAGAUGUUGCCUUCUCGAUUUCUUUUCCAAUCAUCUCAGGGAUGAACUUUUGAACCAGUUCCUUCAAAUCACAAGAUGUUGCCUGGGCAGUCAUUAUUUCCCUCAUCUUUCGGCGUAUCUGAAAAACAUUAAUUUCACUUGGUCAUCAUGGGAUUGACAAAUUCACAAAAAGCACACAAACACUGCAAACAGUCACAAGUACCGGGGUAGUUUACCUGUCUAAUCUGGCUGGACUGAGCGUAACAAGUCCUUUUAACCUGGUUUGGGCGUCUCUUAGUGAAUCCAAUGCAGAACAUUCUCAAAGUGUAAUUGUCAGUUGUCUUCACGUCAACAUGAGCUUCAAUCAGGGUUUGCCAUUUACGCAC